RNAcentral lists this long non-coding RNA (310 nucleotides) under Homo sapiens (human). RNAcentral describes it as "HSALNT0280428". Lineage: Eukaryota; Metazoa; Chordata; Mammalia; Primates; Hominidae. The record is from RNAcentral.
CUUCCCUGACCCGAAGUUGUAUUCUAGUGCACUCUCUCUACAAUGGACCACUAUCUUUUCCACACGUUACUUACCUAAGUCCCUACUGACUUACCCCCUAAGGUGCUUCAGGAAUUCUGUACUUCUAACCUGCUCUCAAAUGCCCUGUUUUAAAAGCUCUGGAAUUCACCCUGAUAUCUACAAGUUGCUGCUAAAUGGGAAAAACUUAGCUUAGUACUGAUAGAUGACUUUAUUGGAAGUGGAACUGAACAAGUACUCCUACUUUUUAAGGACUCCUUGAACUCAGACUGCCUGACUUCAUUUAAAAUAA